RNAcentral lists this ribosomal RNA (429 nucleotides) under Pseudomonadota bacterium. Its description in RNAcentral is "Proteobacteria bacterium partial 16S ribosomal RNA". It matches the Rfam family "Bacterial small subunit ribosomal RNA", at positions 355 to 776 of the family's 1533-position model. The record is from RNAcentral. Lineage: Bacteria; Pseudomonadati; Pseudomonadota.
UGGGGAAUAUUGGACAAUGGGCGAAAGCCUGAUCCAGCCAUGCCGCGUGUGUGAAGAAGGUCUUCGGAUUGUAAAGCACUUUAAGUUGGGAGGAAGGGCAGUAAGCGAAUACCUUGCUGUUUUGACGUUACCGACAGAAUAAGCACCGGCUAACUCUGUGCCAGCAGCCGCGGUAAUACAGAGGGUGCAAGCGUUAAUCGGAAUUACUGGGCGUAAAGCGCGCGUAGGUGGUUCGUUAAGUUGAAUGUGAAAGCCCCGGGCUCAACCUGGGAACUGCGUCCAAAACUGGCGAGCUAGAGUAGGGCAGAGGGUGGUGGAAUUUCCUGUGUAGCGGUGAAAUGCGUAGAUAUAGGAAGGAACACCAGUGGCGAAGGCGACCACCUGGGCUCAUACUGACACUGAGGUGCGAAAGCGUGGGGAGCAAACAGG